UAGGGAAUAUUGCUCAAUGGGGGAAACCCUGAAGCAGCAACGCCGCGUGGAGGAUGAAGGUUUUAGGAUUGUAAACUCCUUUUGUAAGAGAAGAUUAUGACGGUAUCUUACGAAUAAGCACCGGCUAACUCCGUGCCAGCAGCCGCGGUAAUACGGAGGGUGCAAGCGUUACUCGGAAUCACUGGGCGUAAAGAGCGCGUAGGCGGGUGGUCAAGUCAGAUGUGAAAUCCUGUAGCUUAACUACAGAACUGCAUUUGAAACUGACCAUCUAGAGUAUGGGAGAGGUAGGUGGAAUUCUUGGUGUAGGGGUAAAAUCCGUAGAGAUCAAGAGGAAUACUCAUUGCGAAGGCGACCUGCUGGAACAUUACUGACGCUGAUGCGCGAAAGCGUGGGGAGCAAA
Molecule: ribosomal RNA, 400 nt
Filed under: uncultured bacterium
Lineage: Bacteria
Description: bacterial SSU rRNA
Rfam family: Bacterial small subunit ribosomal RNA
Source: RNAcentral